RNAcentral lists this ribosomal RNA (460 nucleotides) under uncultured bacterium. RNAcentral's name for it is "partial 16S ribosomal RNA". It matches the Rfam family "Bacterial small subunit ribosomal RNA", at positions 338 to 795 of the family's 1533-position model. The record is from RNAcentral.
CCUACGGGAGGCAGCAGUGAGGAAUAUUGGUCAAUGGACGAGAGUCUGAACCAGCCAAGUAGCGUGAAGGAUGACUGCCCUAUGGGUUGUAAACUUCUUUUAUAAAGGAAUAAAACGAGGCACGUGUGCCUUUUUGCAUGUACUUUAUGAAUAAGGAUCGGCUAACUCCGUGCCAGCAGCCGCGGUAAUACGGAGGAUCCGAGCGUUAUCCGGCUUUAUUGGGUUUAAAGGGAGCGUAGAUGGUUUGUUAAGUCAGUUGUGAAAGUUUGCGGCUCAACCGUAAAAUUGCAAUUGAUACUGGCAUUCUUGAGUACAGUUGAGGUAGGCGGAAUGCGUGGUGUAGCGGUGAAAUGCUUAGAUAUCACGAAGAACCCCGAUUGCGAAGGCAGCUUACUAAACUGUGACUGACAUUGAUGCUCGAAAGUGUGGGUAUCAAACAGGAUUAGAUACCCGGGUAGUC